RNAcentral lists this ribosomal RNA (407 nucleotides) under uncultured bacterium. RNAcentral's name for it is "bacterial SSU rRNA". It matches the Rfam family "Bacterial small subunit ribosomal RNA", at positions 355 to 776 of the family's 1533-position model. The record is from RNAcentral.
UGGGGAAUAUUGGGCAAUGGGCGCAAGCCUGACCCAGCAACGCCGCGUGAAGGAAGAAGGCUUUCGGGUUGUAAACUUCUUUUAUUGAGGACGAAACAAAUGACGGUACUCAAUGAAUAAGCCACGGCUAACUACGUGCCAGCAGCCGCGGUAAUACGUAGGUGGCAAGCGUUAUCCGGAUUUACUGGGUGUAAAGGGCGUGUAGGCGGGACUGCAAGUCAGAUGUGAAACCCAUGGGCUCAACCCAUGGCCUGCAUUUGAAACUGUAGUUCUUGAGUGAUGGAGAGGCAGGCGGAAUUCCGUGUGUAGCGGUGAAAUGCGUAGAUAUACGGAGGAACACCAGUGGCGAAGGCGGCCUGCUGGACAUUAACUGACGCUGAGGCGCGAAAGCGUGGGGAGCAAACAGG